UACGAAGGGGGCUAGCGUUGUUCGGAAUUACUGGGCGUAAAGCGCGCGCAGGCGGUUCGAUAAGUUGGGGGUGAAAUCCCCGGGCUCAACCCGGGAAUGGCCUUCAAGACUGUCGAUCUUGAGGACGAGAGAGGUGAGUGGAAUUCCCAGUGUAGAGGUGAAAUUCGUAGAUAUUGGGAAGAACACCGGUGGCGAAGGCGGCUCACUGGCUCGUUUCUGACGCUGAGGCGCGAAAGCGUGGGGAGCAAACAGG
Molecule: ribosomal RNA, 253 nt
Filed under: uncultured bacterium
Lineage: Bacteria
Description: partial 16S ribosomal RNA
Rfam family: Bacterial small subunit ribosomal RNA
Source: RNAcentral